Non-coding RNA from Acanthosepion pharaonis, 115 nucleotides. NCBI's taxonomy places the organism in Eukaryota, Metazoa, Mollusca, Cephalopoda, Sepiida, Sepiidae. The record is from the annotation of a GenBank genome assembly.
UUAUGGCCAUAUCACGCUGAAACACCGGUUACCUCUACGAUCACUGAAGUUAAGCAAAAUCGAGCUUGGUCAGUAUUUUGAUAGGUGACCGCUGGAUAAUACCAGGGGAUGUAAG